This 254-nucleotide ribosomal RNA is filed under the name uncultured bacterium. RNAcentral's name for it is "partial 16S ribosomal RNA". It matches the Rfam family "Bacterial small subunit ribosomal RNA", at positions 524 to 777 of the family's 1533-position model. The record is from RNAcentral.
UACGUAGGGACCAAGCGUUGUUCGGAUUUACUGGGCGUAAAGAGCGCGCAGGCGGUCGAGUAAGUCGAAUGUGAAAGCCCCCGGCUUAACUGGGGAGGGUCAUUCGAUACUGUUCGACUUGAAGGCAGGAGAGGGCAGCAGAAUUCCCGGUGUAGUGGUGAAAUGCGUAGAUAUCGGGAGGAAUACCAGUGGCGAAGGCGGCUGCCUGGCCUGUUCUUGACGCUGAGGCGCGAAAGCUGGGGGAGCAAACGGGG